GCAUAUGUAUGUAUGUAUAUAGGUGUAUAAGUAGAUAUAUCGUAUCGUGUAUAAAUAAUUACAAAAAAAUCUCUUUACGAUGUACGAACAAAAAAUACUUGCGCUCAAUUUUAGACAUGAAACAAAACCUUUACAUCGAGGAGUGGGGGAGGGGUUAGGGAUAGGGUUGCAGGGAAACGCGAGAGAGAAUCGAUUCUUGAUCCUCUACUACUGACGCCGCACAGUCCGCUCCCGCUCCCGAUCUCGCUCCCGUU
RNAcentral lists this long non-coding RNA (254 nucleotides) under Drosophila guanche. Lineage: Eukaryota; Metazoa; Arthropoda; Insecta; Diptera; Drosophilidae. The record is from RNAcentral.